AUGGAGUUGGCGGUAGGCGCCUCGGAGGCCACCAUCAAGUCCCUGCUGACCAAGCUCGGGAGCCUUCUGGCAGAGCAGUACGCCUUGGCCCGCGGCGUCCGCAGCGACAUCCAGUUCAUCAACGACGAGCUCGCGAGCAUGCAGGCCUUCCUCAGCAACCUCGGCAACAGCACCGACGACCACGACGACCAGACCAAGGACUGGAUGAAGCAGGUCCGCGACGUCUCCUACGACAUUGAGGACUGCGUCGACGACUUCACCAACGGCCUCCGACCGGAUCCCCAGCGCGACGACUGGCGUUCCAAGGCCCGCGGGUUCCUCUACGAGAUCUGGACAUUAAGUCGCCGGAGAAGCAUAGCUGCCCAGAUCGCGGACCUCAAGCAGCGGGCGCAGCAUGUGGGCGAGCGCCGCGGCAGGUAUGGCGUCCGCGACCCGAAUCCCGGCAGCGGGAAGAGUGGUUUGGAUGGGUAUACCACUGCCGAGCACCAGGAGAUAACCCGUCGACUUAUCGGCAUCCAGAGGCCAGUUGGGGUGGACAUAGCAGAGCUCGAGAAGUGGAUUAAAUCUCCAGAGAAGAAGCGGAGUGUUAUAUCCAUAUACGGAUUUGGCGGCGUGGGAAAAACCACGGCCGCCAUGGCACUGUACCGGAGCUGCGGGGUUCAUUUCACGUGUCGGGCAAUGGUCACCGUGUCACAUCACACUGACCCUGAUGUAGUUCUCCGUGAGAUACUGAGGCAAGUCAAGAUGCAAGUGAAGGAUCAGCAAGUCCAGAAUAGUACCGUAAACACCUCGGAGAAGAAGAAUCCAGCAGCAGCGGCUCCCCCCCGGAUGCUCAGCAGGCUGAGCCAAUUCCGGCUGUAUUACCGCAAUCAAGAUAAGGAUGGUAAAGCCUCGGGCAAGGAGCGCCAACUGAUAAUAGAUGAUCUCUUGAAACACCUCAGGAAAAAUAGGUACUUACUGUUAAUUGACGACGUCUGGUCAUCAUCUAUGUGGCAGACAAUCUUGAACUGCUUGCCAGAAAAUGAUGAAAAUAGCAGAAUAAUUGUGACCACACGAUUUGAAGCUGUUGCAAAGACUUCACACUUGGACCAUGAUCACUUUCAUCAGAUGGAUCCUCUUUCUGUGAAAUAUGCCGAGCACUUGUUUAACACAAGUUUGUCCGAGUGCAGGGAUGCUCAAAGCAGUAAGACAAGCCAGAGCGAUCAAGUUCCACCCAGAGUCUGGAAGAUGUGUGGUGGCCUGCCAUUACCCAUAGUUACCAUGGCUGGUCUCAUGGCAUCCAACAAGCUCAUGAAGCGAGAGGAAUGGAAUAAAGUUUGCGAGGCUUUGUUUCCAGAUGAACAAGUAUGCCAUAAACCAGAGGAAUUUAUGAGGAUAAUCAAUUACUGCUACAGUGCUUUGCCUAGUGAUCUCAAGACUUGCUCUCUGUAUUUUAGCAUCUUUCCAAAGGGUCGCAGUAUCAGCAAGAAGCGGCUAAUCAGGAGGUGGAUAGCGGAAGGCUUUGUCAGCGAGAAGCAAGGGCUGAGCGUGGAUGAUGUUGCAGAGACGUGCUUUAAUCAGCUUAUUAAAAGGCAGAUAAUACGGCCUGUACAGAACAGCACCGAUGGCAAGGUGAAGAGCUGUCAAGUCCAUGACAUGGUCCUUGAGUACAUUAUAACCAAGGCAGCCGAAGAGAAUUUCGUUACUGUGGUUGGUGGCCAGUGGUCCAUACCAACUCGUAGCAGCAAAGUCCGCAGGAUGUCGCUCCACAGCAGUGACUCCAAACAUGCAAGGAAAGCAUAUGGAAUGAACUUGUCUCAUGUCCGAUCACUGACUGUGUUUGGGAGCCUAGAGCAACAGCGGUUUAAAUCAUUCAAGACUGGAAUAGUGCAAGUACUAGACCUCGAAGGUUGCAGCGGUUUCAAGGCAAAGCAUGCCAGUGUCUCGGACAUCUGUAAAAUGACUCUUCUCAAGUACCUGAGCCUCCGAGGAACAGACAUCAGCGUACUACCACCGAACAUCGGGGGUCUCAAGUAUUUGGAAACACUGGACAUAAGGCAGACGGAAGUUGAAGAACUGCCUAAAACUGUAGUUCUGCUGGAACGAAUCAGCAAUAUACUUGGAGGAGAUAAGAGAACACGGAAAGCCUUGAAGUUGCCUAAAGAGAUGAAGAAGGGAGCAAUGAAAACCCUGCGCGUACUGUCUGGGAUUGAGAUCACUGAGGAAUCGACUGCCGUAUCAAACCUCCAUGAACUAACUGGGCUGAAGAAGUUGGCCAUUUACAAGCUUCACAAGUCUGACCAUGAUGAUUUGCUCUCCUCUAUCCAGUACCUUGGCGGUUAUUCUCUUAAAACUCUUGUGAUUGAUGAUGAGUCAUCUGAGUUCCAUGAUAAACUGGGCAAAAUGUCGACGCCUCCAGUAUACCUGAAUGCUCUAGAGCUGUCCGGCAAGUUGUGUAACUUCCCAUCAUGGAUCACUAAACUCAGGGACAUUGUCAAGUUAACCCUUUCAGCAACACUUCUGGGACCAGAAAAUCUGGAGUGCCUUAGGGACUUGAAGACAUUAUUUUCUCUCACCUUUUCAGUACAUGCAACAAAACACGAUCCUGAUAUUGCAGCCAUUCUUCACAAGAACAAAUCUGAUUAUGGCGGUGAGAUCUUUUUUCCACCUGGAGGGUUUGCUAAUCUCAAGUUGUUCCGCAUCUUCACACCCAUUCUCCCAUCACUGAACUUCUCAGAAGGGGCGAUGCCGGGGCUCGAAAGGCUUGCAUUGUGUUUCAAAUUGUUGGAAGGUCUUCAUGGCGUGGAGAAACUUAAAAGUCUCCAUGACGUGAUCUUGACAGUUGAUGGAGAAGCAGGUAGCACGACCCAGUCGAUAAUAAAUGAUCUGAAAGAAGCAAAAGAGACAGCAAAAAGUAACUAUGUCCUAGACAUCAAGGAGAAUAGUGUGAUGAACUGA
Molecule: ribosomal RNA, 2937 nt
Filed under: Triticum aestivum (bread wheat)
Lineage: Eukaryota; Viridiplantae; Streptophyta; Magnoliopsida; Poales; Poaceae
Description: partial small subunit ribosomal RNA
Source: RNAcentral